RNAcentral lists this ribosomal RNA (377 nucleotides) under uncultured Lentisphaerota bacterium. RNAcentral's name for it is "bacterial SSU rRNA". It matches the Rfam family "Bacterial small subunit ribosomal RNA", at positions 521 to 896 of the family's 1533-position model. The record is from RNAcentral. Lineage: Bacteria; Pseudomonadati; Lentisphaerota.
UAAUACGUAGGUGGCGAGCGUUAUUCGGAUUCAUUGGGCGUAAAGAGUCCGCAGGGGGUUUGGUAAGUUUGAUGUGAAAUGCCAGGGCUCAACCUUGGACAUGCAUUGAAACCUGCCAGACUAGAGUGCAGGAGAGGAGAGUGGAAUACCAGGUGUAGCGGUGGAAUGCGUAGAUAUCUGGUAGAACACCGAUGGCGAAGGCAGCUCUCUGGACUGCUACUGACCCUCAUGGACGAAAGCCGGGGGAGCGAACAGGAUUAGAUACCCUGGUAGUCCCGGCCGUAAACGUUGUACACUAGGUGUUGGGGGAUUUGACCCCCUCAGCGCCCCAGCUAACGCGAUAAGUGUACCGCCUGGGGAGUACGGCGGCAACGCUA